This 217-nucleotide long non-coding RNA is filed under the name Pelobates cultripes (western spadefoot toad). Lineage: Eukaryota; Metazoa; Chordata; Amphibia; Anura; Pelobatidae. The record is from RNAcentral.
GUGCAUCCCUGGAGAAGUCUUGAAGGCUAGCAUCAGAGGUGGGAGUAUGGACAGAAGAUAGACGUAAAUCUUCAACAGAGCGUAAGGGCCUAGAUGGAACAUUAGUGUAUUAGUGAGGAUAGAUAGGUGGGAGCAGCAUUAUGUAGAGAUUUGAAAGCAAGAACCAGAAUCUUAAAUUGAGCUCUGUAUUUUAUAGGAGGCCAAUGUAGGGACUGAC